UACUCAUACCACUCAUUAAGAAGGAGAGAGAGAGGGUAUAUGGCAGACAUACUCAUACCACUCAUUAAGAAGGUGAGAGAGAGGGUAUAUGGCAGACAUACUCAUACCACUCAUUAAGAAGGUGAGAGAGAGAGUAUAUGGCAGACAUACUCAUACCACUCAUUAAGAAGGAGAGAGAGAGAGGGUAUAUGGCAGACAUACUCAUACCACUCAUUAAGAAGGUGAGAGAGAGAGAGAGUAUAUGGCAGACAUACUCAUACCACUCAUUAAGAAGGAGAGAGAGAGUAUAUGGCAGACAUACUCAUACCACUCAUUA
This is a long non-coding RNA of Oncorhynchus keta (chum salmon), 316 nucleotides long. RefSeq lists it as uncharacterized. The transcript has 3 exons. Lineage: Eukaryota; Metazoa; Chordata; Actinopteri; Salmoniformes; Salmonidae. The record is from RefSeq and is a predicted model, not a curated record.